UUGCACAGGCGCCUGUCGAGGGAUUGCUGUUACAGACGAGUCACGCCGCUGAAUGUUUGAGCUCUGCAACGCACGCCACUGUGCUUUCGCGUAAACGUGAGUCGGCACAUAACUUUCAAGAACCGAUCGAGCUGCGAGUCAUAGCAUCAGUUGUACAAAAGGGGACUUCAGAGGCGCGAACAGUGGCCAUGCGUUCAGCGACCACAACAAUUCUAACGUUUGCCAUGGUAAUUGUGGCAGCUUCCACAUCCAGCGAAAAAGAGUGUGUCUUCACGGACCUGGACUUGAAGGGGGCUCUCAAAGCUACCUUUAACUCACUUAUCUAAGUACCAAGUGCACGUUUAUGAAGACAUGAGCUCCUACGGAAAUCUUUUAAUUAUCGAGUGCUGCAACGUAACUGGACUUAGUCAUCUACGCCAGUACGGACCACUGCUGCCAUACUGCGUGAAAGGUGCACGCAAGCUUCAAGUUGACCUUCUCCAUGAUGAUCCCAUUGAAGUGGCCAUGAAGUGGUGGACCUACAGAGGAGUAAAGGGAAUGUUUGUGCUUGGUGCUGUCCUAUCGAGAUUUACUCUUCAGUUCGAAGUCAUCACAGGGCCAUCCGAAAACAGCACUACCCUGAAGUUGGAAGAUCCCGUGGUUCCCGUGGUCACUGGCAGAACUUAUGCUGUUGUAGGGGACGUUGGAGAAAUUGCACAAGCUGCGACAGAGUUUUGGAGCAAUAUGCUGCCCUCUUUGACAGAACGCGCGUGGAAAUACUAUUUCUUUGAUCACUUACGGCGGGCCAUACGCGACACUGAGCGUGACUUAUUUAAUGCACUUUCACUAGUGACUACGGAAAUGGUUAACUUAGGUUAGUUCAAUAUCUUUGCGAAAAAAAUGCAUUCUUAUCGUUUUAAAAGCAAAAUGCGUGCUAUAAGAUGUUGUCAAUGAUCACAUAAACAUUCCGCCGAAUUGUUCACCAAGCGUUCGGCUAAUAAUGCCUAAGACAGCUCUAGAGGCGUCGCCCAUAUUACCGAAGCGUAGCAGCUAUUACUCGAGGGUCUACAGAAAAAACGUUCUUCCCAUAAGUUAUCUCCUAUAACUUCCUAAUGUAGGGUCACCGAAAGUGCAGCUUGUCACUCAUGUAUAUAGCGAGUGCCUAUCGGUGCUUACUGCUACUAUGUGAAAAUGCCAGUUCAACCUAAGGUUGUUCCAGAAAGAGUUGGAAAAGGGAAUCUGAGACAAAAUAAUCAGCCGCUGAAUGUCCCCAUAGCAUAGUUUACGAAUAUGUAGCAACUGUUUACAAAAUGGUACCCGUGAAUUAGCAUUUUUUUGCUGCAUUCUAGCACAGACUGCAAUUUUCUUCCUGGCUUCAUUGUUACCACGGAUGAAUAAAUCGAAUGUUUAUAAACAUGACGACUGAAUAA
Rhipicephalus microplus (southern cattle tick) is the source of this 1409-nucleotide long non-coding RNA. Lineage: Eukaryota; Metazoa; Arthropoda; Arachnida; Ixodida; Ixodidae. The record is from RefSeq and is a predicted model, not a curated record.